CCAGGUCUUCCUGUGGCUGUCCUUCUCGCUCAGGUGUCCCGGGCAGCGCAGGUACCCGGAGUGCUUGCAGGAUCCUGUAGUCUCCACCCGGAACCCAGUUUCCUGCUGAUGCUCUUAGCUCCUCUGCUCUGGGCAGGAGCUUUGCGGGUGUGAACCUGGGGAGAUUUCCAAAUCACUUUCACACGAGGUGCCUCAUCAGUGCCUCACGGCAGCUCUGUUAGACAGGUAGGGCAGGAUCAUAAACCCAUUUCACACACGAGAAGAUGGAGGCGCCCAGAGGAUUGUAGAACUUGCCCAAGACCACUGGCCUCAGGUAACCAAGGGUCAAGGGUUAGGAAGCCAUUCCCAAGACAUCAAGCCAGGCAUGCCAAUAACUGAAGAGGAGUAAUCCGCACAUUAAGGCCAUUUUCCAUCGUCGCUGUACAGAACCGAUGUAUUUAGAAUUACUUUAAGAAAGAAGCUUGAAGUUGGAAGGUGGACAAAAUGGAAGGGGUCUAUAGAAGGAGAGCGGUGUCUGCAGCUGAGAUGGCCUGGUUAAGAGCACUGGCUGCUCUUGAAGAGGAUGUGGGCUGGGCUCCCAGAACCUGCACGGUUGCUCACAUCUGUCUGAGACUGCAGUUCCACGGGAUCGAGGCCCACUCCCCGUCUCCACAGGCACGUGCUGACACACACACAAAGCUUCUCAGUAACAGAAAAUGGUCUUGAAUUCCACCUGACCCUCCUGCAUUUAUAUCUAAGAUAUGGAGACCACAGGUGAGAUUAACACACCUGGCUUUGGCGUUUUUUGUUUGCUUGUUUGUUUGUUUUUCUUUUUCUUUUUUUUUUUUUCAUGUAUGGGGAAAAUGAGAAUAUGGAAUCAAACCCAGGGACACAUAUAUUUUAUCUCUGAUCUAUACCGCAAAAAGCCCACCUUUUCAUCAUCUCAAAGUUCAUACUUAUAUAUUUUUAAAAUGAAUGGAUCAGAAAAUACAAAUGCUGUUACAUACUGUUUUUUUUUUUCUUCAUUUCUAUUUAAUACUUUCAGCAGA
Molecule: long non-coding RNA, 1028 nt
Organism: Meriones unguiculatus (Mongolian gerbil)
Lineage: Eukaryota; Metazoa; Chordata; Mammalia; Rodentia; Muridae
Exons: 4
Source: RefSeq, a predicted model, not a curated record